This 244-nucleotide long non-coding RNA is filed under the name Panax ginseng (ginseng). Its description in RNAcentral is "long non-coding RNA (PGIN_LNC018578)". The record is from RNAcentral. Lineage: Eukaryota; Viridiplantae; Streptophyta; Magnoliopsida; Apiales; Araliaceae.
UUUAGUAUUAUUCAGCUUAAAGAAAUGGUAUCGUGGAGAACAGAGUUCGGGUUUCAAGUACCUAGAUUUGGGGUCGCCACAGCUAAGACAGAACGUCCCGAAGGAUCGAAUAAGGAUAAAGGAAAAGCUAAGGCAGAUCAUUAAGCUGUCUAUGUAAUAGUAUAGGUUAUUGUUGUAAUGUUAUUGAUAUUAUGACAAUGAACCUUUGAAAUGGGUUUAGAACUUGGGACAAUGUAAAUAUUAU